CUACGGGUCGCUCCAGUAAGGAAUAUUGGGCAAUGGACGCAAGUCUGACCCAGCCAUGCCGCGUGCAGGAUGACAGCCCUACGGGUUGUAAACUGCUUUUAUACGGGAAAAAUUCCCCGGUCGUGAAUCGGGGUUGAUGGUACCGUAAGAAUAAGCACCGGCUAACUCCGUGCCAGCAGCCGCGGUAAUACGGAGGAUGCAAGCGUUAUCCGGAUUCAUUGGGUUUAAAGGGUGCGUAGGCGGAAUGAUAAGUCAGUGGUGAAAUCCUACAGCUUAACUGUAGAACUGCCAUUGAUACUGUUGUUCUUGAGUACAUUUGAAGUGGGCGGAAUGUGUCAUGUAGCGGUGAAAUGCAUAGAGAUAACACAGAACACCGAUCGCGAAGGCAGCUCACUAAACUGUAACUGACGCUGAGGCACGAAAGCGUGGGGAUCAAACAGGAUUAGAUACCCCAGUAGUC
Molecule: ribosomal RNA, 460 nt
Filed under: uncultured bacterium
Lineage: Bacteria
Description: partial 16S ribosomal RNA
Rfam family: Bacterial small subunit ribosomal RNA
Source: RNAcentral